AACGAACGCUGGCGGCAGGCUUAACACAUGCAAGUCGAACGCGUGUAGCAAUAUACGAGUGGCGCACGGGUGAGUAACGCGUGGAUAUCUGCCUUUUGGUUCGGAAUAACCCCGGGAAACUGGGGCUAAUACCGAAUGGUUCCUUCGGGAUAAAGAUUUAUCGCCAAAAGAUGAGUCCGCGUCCGAUUAGCUAGUUGGUGAGGUAAUGGCUCACCAAGGCUACGAUCGGUAGCUGGCUGAGAGGACGAUCAGCCACACUGGGACUGAGACACGGCCCAGACUCCUACGGGAGGCAGCAGUGGGGAAUAUUGGACAAUGGGGGCAACCCUGAUCCAGCCAUGCCGCGUGAGUGAUGAAGGCC
RNAcentral lists this ribosomal RNA (361 nucleotides) under uncultured bacterium. RNAcentral's name for it is "bacterial SSU rRNA". It matches the Rfam family "Bacterial small subunit ribosomal RNA", at positions 29 to 416 of the family's 1533-position model. The record is from RNAcentral.